GAUGAACGCUGGCGGCGUGCUUAACACAUGCAAGUCGAACGGUGAACACGGAGCUUGCUCUGUGGGAUCAGUGGCGAACGGGUGAGUAACACGUGAGCAACCUGCCCCUGACUCUGGGAUAAGCGCUGGAAACGGCGUCUAAUACUGGAUAUGUGACGUGACCGCAUGGUCUGCGUUUGGAAAGAUUUUUCGGUUGGGGAUGGGCUCGCGGCCUAUCAGCUUGUUGGUGAGGUAAUGGCUCACCAAGGCGUCGACGGGUAGCCGGCCUGAGAGGGUGACCGGCCACACUGGGACUGAGACACGGCCCAGACUCCUACGGGAGGCAGCAGUGGGGAAUAUUGCACAAUGGGCGCAAGCCUGAUGCAGCAACGCCGCGUGAGGGAUGACGGCCUUCGGGUUGUAAACCUCUUUUAGCAGGGAAGAAGCGAAAGUGACGGUACCUGCAGAAAAAGCGCCGGCUAACAACGUG
This 469-nucleotide ribosomal RNA is filed under the name uncultured bacterium. RNAcentral's name for it is "partial 16S ribosomal RNA". It matches the Rfam family "Bacterial small subunit ribosomal RNA", at positions 28 to 507 of the family's 1533-position model. The record is from RNAcentral.